Schistocerca cancellata (South American locust) is the source of this 121-nucleotide small nuclear RNA. RefSeq annotates it as U5 spliceosomal RNA. The record is from RefSeq and is a predicted model, not a curated record. NCBI's taxonomy places the organism in Eukaryota, Metazoa, Arthropoda, Insecta, Orthoptera, Acrididae. The transcript has a single exon.
GCACUCUGGUUUCCCUUCAAAACGAAUAAAUCUUUCGCCUUUUUACUAAAGAUUUCCGUGGGAGGGGAACAUUAAAUGAGUCUAUAAGGUAUUUUUCGUAGUGCUCGGCUAUUGCUGAGCC